Molecule: long non-coding RNA, 3797 nt
Filed under: Homo sapiens (human)
Lineage: Eukaryota; Metazoa; Chordata; Mammalia; Primates; Hominidae
Description: PREDICTED lncRNA (TCONS_00255453)
Source: RNAcentral
ACAAUGCGUUCUCCUUUCUUCCUCUCCACUAAUCUGUACUUCUAAGAGGUGUUGAGUUUCGGCCAAACUUUCUGCUCGGCUCGCAUCAAAGGCUGCCCUCUUGUGAAUAGCCAGCUCUCACCUAAUGAUCUCCCUACUCACUCCUGACCAGGACGCAGGUCAUUCCCCAUAAUAAUUAGCUCACAGGCAGAGUUUCCAGGCGCUUCCAGGAGCAUCAAUCACCGGGAUGAAUGGGAAGCCCGUGUGUGGGAACUGCAGGGGGAGCUGGGUGCAGAGCCACCUCAGCCCUGUCACCCUGCGCGUGUCUCUGCCAUGCUUCCUUGGAUCCCUAUCUACCCCGUUUUGGGUGACAGGACGAGUUGGGCCAGUUACCAGGAUCUUGUCGCCUGGUUCUGAUGGUGUCUUGGUUCCCGGCUGGGGUUUUGUGUUUACCACGAGCGUUGCCUGCUGUCGGGGAGCUGCGUGUGUUUCACAACAAACAGGGAGCCAGGGAGACCACCCUGCGGGGCUGCCCCUUCCCUCAGCGCUUUCUGCUUGGGUCGCUGGCGUCUUGCAGUGCCUUCGUUCGUCUGUGGUGUGAGGUGCUGGUCCAGGCUUACGCGCUAACAGUGAAUUAGAAGGAGAAAACGCUCUGCGAGUGCAGCGGAAGGAGGAAGUCCAGAGCCACGGAAAUUCGGUAAGGAUCGGAUAAGGGCAAUAAAAUCGCAGCUCUAAAUCUUUUCAUGGAGUUGAAGACAGACGUUUGACUGUGGGAGCCAUCUCAUCUUUAUAACCUGCCUGAGUCGAAGCUGUUAAAGAGGCCAAGAAUUCCCAAGCUUUCCCAGGCAAACGGGGAAGAACACUGGGAUGCCUUUUCCUCCUCCUCUGUCCAUCUGCAGGCCAAGUGUGCAUCAGUCACAGGCAAACUCUGAAUUGAGCUUUGUGCAAGUCUCUGGAAAGAGACCCAAGAUCGUGUGAUGAGCAAAAGUGACAGUGCUGGAGGCAGCGACAUCUGCAGAGCCAGCCCCAUCCCUAUCUGCAGCAGAAUAUGUAUGGGGAUCCUUUAUGUGAACAAUCCACCCAGGGUAGAAUGGGGCUUUUGACAUCAGCUGAGACCCAGGCGGCCUUACAAUGAGAGGGCUGUUGGUCAAAGGAAGGACUGUUUAAUGAACUGAGAAUCUGAGGCCAGCUCUGGCCAUCUGCACUUGGAAUCAUUAGAGCAACUCUACUGUAACUGGCAACCUUGAAUAAUGCAGCAAAUUCAUAUUCCAAAAUUGUGAACUUUAAAAUUUUGUGUUUGUGUCUAUGAUGAAAAGCAUUAUAUAAACAUUUGAUACUACAAUUUUAUUAGUAAGGAAGGCUGAAAAAGUAUCUCUCUUUUGACUCUGAGGUCAAUAAUGAUAAUGGCUUUUCCCCUACACUGGGAUAGAAAUGUUCUGUCAAGGAUAUGAAAACACUUUAUGAAAAUGAAAUUCAUUAAAGCCCUUAAUAAUCAGGUAGGGAAGGCAGGUGCUCACAAUUGUCACCUGUUGGUGAGUGAACACCUUAGGCUCGGGGAGGACAAUGACUCAAGAACAAGGUCGAAUUGCAGGUGGGGGGUGAAGCUGAUCCCUAACAGUGUCCUCCAGCCCCUGGCACUGAGGAAGGACAUGGAGGGCUUGCAUCGACUUUUCCUGGCAGGCUUGUGAUUCCCAGCCAGAAUGCAGGUGGCAAUGUUGUGAUUCCUGGCGUAACCUUCAAUGCUUCAAUGAUAAUCUCUGCUGGUGCCAGGCACCAGCUGAGUGUCACUGUGCAGCUCCCAGGCUUAAGUGAUGCAUGCCGAGGUUUUCAGAGCAGUCUCUCAUUUAUUAGUUGUGUUGGAAAGAAAUCUGUACUACCUAACUGGGUACCUCUGGAUUUUAACAGCUGUGGUUUAUAAGAGAUAUGAGAGGGGGUUUGUUUUCAAAGUGCCUUUCACAAAGUAACACCUUAGACUGUAGUUUACAUUCCAUUCCAGUAGGAUAACUUGCAACACUUCUGUGCUCAGAAAUCCAACUGUGCAAGAAAAGUCAGGUUAUAUUUUCAUACAGCCCGUUCUGGCAAAUAUGCCUUCACACCACUUUCCCUCCUCCUCACCGCUAUUGGCAAUAGUCCCAAUGGAAGAGUUUUAUGUCAAAUGCUGAGUAUCUUGGAAGCUGUCCUGCACAGACACGACUGCUUGGCUGCGUGUUGGAGAGUCGCGGUUGGACUGGGAGACCAGGAAGGUCCCUUCUGGUCUGAGAUGUGAUGACUCUAGAACUAAUUAGUUUCAACUCAUAACACGAAAUGAUACUAGCUACCAUUUGGUGGGCUUUUUCUGUGUUCCAGGCUCUGUGCUAAGAUCUUAGCAUUACUCUAAUUACAAAAUCCCUGCCAAUAUUAUCCUCAGUUUACGCAAGAACAAAUGGGUUUAGGGAAAUCAAAAACUUGUCCAAUGACACAGAUUUAAGAUUUAGCAACUGAUGGCCACGUGGAAAUGGAUUACAGAUUAUUCUAAUUGGACACUCUAAACGUGCAAUUUAACCAGAAUGAAAUUUAGGGCUGCGUGCUGUGGCUCAUGCCUGUAAUCCUAGCACUUUGGGAAGCCAGGUGUAUCCCUUAAGCCCAGGAGUUUGAGAGCAACUUGGGCAACAUGGUGAAACCUGUAUCUACAAAAAAUACAAAAAUUAGCCAGGUGAGGUGGUGUAUGCCUGUAGUUCCAGCUACUUGGGAGGCUGAGAGAUGGGAGGAUUGGUUGAGCCUAGGAGGUCGAGGCUGCUGUGAGCUGUGAUGGUUCCACUGCACUCCAGCCUGGGCGACAGAGACAGACUCCAUCUCAAAAAAAAAAAAAAAAAAAGUAGCUACCUUGUGGUUGCACUCGUCUGAGACUAGCUCAUGGCUCCAGCUCUCAGGGUGGUGAGUAAUGAUUCUGUGGUCAGACGCAGUUUUGAAGUCAGGCAAGAAAACCUUCAACAAGAGUUAGAGAUGUCCUGUCUAUGAAUUUCUCCUCUAGGCUUAGGGAUAGCCCUGGGAUUCAUGUCAUGCCAGUUAGGGAUCCACUCAUUGUAAGCAAUACAAGUGCCCCCGAAGAGACAGUGCAUUAAUUGUCACCCCUUAGGAGCAUUGUGUGAAUUAGUGUGAUUUAGCACAUGCCCAGAGGGAUGAAACUCUAGCUCCAUAGGGUAGGUCCUGAUUACUCCUGGAGCAGGCAGCCAGCUCAGCUCAUGGGGAGCUCUGAGAAGUCUCUCAAUGCCUCGCAUGCAGCCCCUGCUCAGGAGUCAUGUGUCACUUCACAGUCUUGCUUUCCAGUGGGUCAAAGCAUGAUGUUUAUGAGAAACAAAUACACAAAAUUCUGACUUGUGUGAAUACAGAACACGUGCAAUAAAACGACUGCAAUCUAUUUUUAAAAUGUGGUCUGAGAAGUCAGGUUUAAUAUGACUAUGUAAUAUAUAAACAAUAUAUUUUCCACAGAAAGGAAAAUAUAAAUAAUAAAAUAUGUCUAUUUCUUUUUUUUGGUGGAAAAUUACUCCCACAAUUUGGUCCCAAGGGGGUCUUAAUUUGUCAUCAGGUCUGUGGCUAAAUGUCUUAUAAAGGAAUGCUUCUUUCUUUCGAGAAGUGUACAGGAACAGUCUGCACUGACUGCUUUUACCUGUAAAUGUUUUGAGAAUUCAGAAGUCACUUUCCUUCCACAAUAGGUGCUAGGCAUUUUAUUUAAAUAAAGCAAAAACAUUUCUGUCAUAAAGAAGGUGUUAAUAACCUCAAAGCUAUGCGAAAUAUACUAGUACAAUCUAAUACUCAUGGUGAAAAAUACAGUAAUUAAG